ACUGUCAUGGAUGCGAGGUCCGAUCACUUCUGACACCAAUGUAAUGAAACAGCAGGGAGCAGGUCUCGAACCUUCGAGCCCGAGGUCCGGCGCGCUAUCGACUGUGCCGCAAAAGCAUGCUCGUGCGGCAUAAUCGAUUUCCGCGGUUAUAAACCCAGGGUCGUUACAAUACAAUAGGACAUGUUGUUUAAUUACCUCAAAUGUCUUGCAAAAUUGUCUGACGGUAUUCUAAUCUUGGGUUACGUUACCUGAGCGUCAAGGGCAAGGCAUCGAUGGAUAUUAUGAGAGGGAGUUUAGAUUAAAUCUCGGAGGAGUUUGUCACCCCAGCCCAACGUCCCUGGUGGUCCUGAGCGAUGAUGUCCCCAACAAUAAGCAGGUAGCUAUCGUAUCUACAUGCACAAGUUGCAUGGUGGAGAAUAUUGCAUGUUUAUUCCCCCCAGUUGAAUAAUUGCAUUGUGAUACGAAACGCGGCAACUGUAUGCUUUAGGACCAUGCGGAUGCCUCAGAGCGGGUAGGCUGUUUUCCAUUUCAGCCAGCUGGAUUUAGGACCGCACUGACACCACAGAGGGCGCGGACGGCGCGGACAGGCUUUGUGAAGGCAAAGCUUCUGAAAGUCUGGCGUGUAGUACCAGCACGGGAGAGAUGAACAGAGGCUGCUGUCUGUGUUGCGCUUUUUCUUCGAGUUGGAAAAACAAGCAGAGCAGAAACUGACUACUCUUUAGUUGACUGGGCUAGAUGGCAAGUUAAGUGCUGCUUGACAUAUUUUUUUUUUCAGUGUUGAGUUAGUAGUGUAACUGACAUGUUACGUUCGUCAAUGUCUCAUCUCUUCUCGACUGAUGAAUGAACUACUAGCGGCUACUGUAGUAGCUACCACGGCCAGUUAAACUCUAGAUAGCCUCUAUCUACCAGUGGCGGUCAGUGCCGUUUAAGAUGAGAGAGGAUGAUUUUUAAUGAGUAUGGCCUUAUUUCUAUUACAGCAUAUUGGAUGACUGCCAUUAGUAUUCCAUUCACCCAGGUCAAUGUAACAUGGACUACAGGUUUAGGCUAUUACAUGAUACAUUCCCUACAUCAUGAGGUUGCUACAACCUAGCCUAUGAAUGAACAUUUACAACAUAGGUGCACACAGGUCGAGAGAAAAAUAUGAGCUGACAGACAGUGACACAUUGAAUACCGCCUUGCACACUUACCUGCAUCUAGCUAAUAUAGGGUGUAAUUAUUAGUCCAACAGUUGCAAACAAGAGUUUCUAUUGGACAAAUUCAGGUAUGUUUUGUUCCGUUUGCUUCCGUUUUUAAGAAACAUGUUUCAACAGAAUCAUCAGAAUGAAUACACCCCUGAUCACUUGUAAACAAAGUUCACUUUCAUUGCAGUAACGUUGUAUUCCUUCUCGCGCUCUCUUUCUAUCACCUUUUCCCUUCGGUUGUGGACUUCAAUGACCAACAUGUCAGCUGUAUGUGACCCUGGCGAAAAAAAAACUUAUCAAGCUUGAGCUCAGGUGCAUCCUGUUUCUAUUGAUCAUCCUUGAGAUGUUUCUACAACUUGUGGUAAAUUCAAUUGAUUGAACAUGAUUUGGAAAGGCACACACCUGUCUAUAUCUGUCUAUAUAAGGUCCCACAGUUGACAGUGCAUGUCAGAGCAAAAACCAAGCCAUGAGGUGGAAGGAACUGUCCGUAGACCUCUGAGACAGGAUUGUGUCGAGGCACAGAUCUGGGGAAGUGUACCAAAAAACUUCUACCGCAUUGAAGGUCCCUGAGAACAAAGUGGCCUACCUCAUUCUUAAAUGGAAAAAGUUUGGAACUACCGAGGCUUUUCCUAGAAAUGGCCGCCCAGCCAAACUGAGCAAUUUGGGGAGAAGAGUCUUGGUCAGGGAGGUGACCAAGAACCAGACGGUCACUCUGACAGAGCUCCAGAGUUCCUUUGUGGAGAUUCGACCACCAUCUCUGCAGUACUCUACCAAUCAGGCCUUUAUGAUAGGGUGGCCAGACAGAAGCCACUACUCAAUAAAAUACACAUGACAGUCCGUCUGGAGUUUGCCAAAAGGCACCUAAAGGACUCUCAGACCAUGAGAAACCAAGAUUGAACUCUUUGACCUGAAUUCCAAGCAUCACGUCUGGAGGAAACCUGGCACCAUCCCUACGGUGAAGCUUGGUGGUGGCAGCAUGGUGCAGUGACGCUCCCCAUCCAACCUGACAAAUCUUGAUAAGAUCUGCAGAGAAGGGGAGAAACUCCCCAAAUACAUGUGUGCCAAGCUUGUAGUGUCAUACCCAAUAAGACUCAAGGCUGUAAUCGCUGCCAAAGGUGCUUCAACAAAGUACUGAGUAAAGGGUCUUAAUAUCUAUGUAAAUGUGAUAUUUCAGUUGUAAUUUUAAAUUGUAUAUGUGGUAUUUUGUGUAGAUUGAUGAGGGGAAAAAACAAUUUAAUCAAUUUUAGAAUAUGGCUGUAACGUAACAAUGUGGAAAAAGUUAAGGGGUCUGAAUACUUUCCGAAUGCACUCUAUAUCACUUUGAAAUUGGAAUAAGUGGUAAAGAAUAGUGAAAAAACGAAUUGUGUUUGUUCAUCUUUAAAGAUCCCAACCAGCGCCUGAUGCGUUGGACUUUGUUCUUGCAACCAUUCAACCUUGAUAUUAGACACAUUAGUGGUAAGGAUAAUAUCAUUGCUGAUGCUCUGUCCUGUGCUCCUUUAACCUAGUUUGUAUCUUCUCUCUGCUGACCCCUAUGGGCUGUCUGCGCCUCUUUCCUCUUAAAUUGCUCCCCAGGUACCAGGGCUGCCGAGUUUGAGGGGCGGACAGUCAGCUGGGGGACACGGGGCUACUUCUAGGUGCCGGGACUGGUAUCCUUUUUUUUCAUUUGGGGGAACUUUGGAUUGUUUUGAAUAUGUUGGGCCGAAAUUUGGGUUGAGGGUGGGACCCUCAUUUUAAUGAAGGGGGUGUCACGGCCCCUCUGCAUUGCAGGGGCGGUUCCUCCUGCAGGCAGAGGGUCGUUAGUGAUUGGAGCCACAUGGGCUCAGGGUAUUUAAACUGCUUCACUAAACCACUCUUGUCUCUCUCUCUGCUCCUCCAGGUAUGAUCCUGUUUUGUUUGUUCCUUUGUAGUUUUACGUAGUUUUCACUCAGUCAUAUUCACACACACAGAUGCACGCAUCCCUGCACUUUACAUACAUCCUACAUUAUGAUACUUUCACACCUCAUUCCCUUUUCUUUGUUUAAACUUAAUAGUUUUUGGUUUAUAAUAAAGAACCUUUUUGAUUGGCCUAUACCUGUUGUUCGUGUCCCCUCAUUUUUGCCACAGGCUAUGAGCCGGCCUGUGACAGUAUGAAUUUCCAGUUCACUUGAUUGGAGAUGUAUCUGAUGAGGAGAACGAAGAUCCAGAAGUCCAGAAGGACAUUAAGACAUUUUAAGUACUUGACAAAAUCCUGGCUUCAAGGAUCUUCAAGGAGUUCUAUCAACUAUGGAAGGAACUAUUGGUAAGCACAAGGAUACGGAGAGUACACAGAAGUUAAUGCAGCACCAUAUCACCAAGUAAAAUUCAAAGUGUGUAAAUGUACUUGACAAAUGAAGGCGAUUCUGAUGUGAGAAUGUGUAUAUGCUGAAGGAUAUUUUCUACCAAUUUUUGUGCAGCAGCUAAAACCCAACAUAUAUUCAGAAUGUGCAGAUGAAGCAGAAAAUACAAGGAUAUUUUUGGUCCUGGCUCCUUCCAGUAGUAAGUCAAAUAGUAUCAUUUCAGAAUGCUGAUCAGUGUGGAUACUGUCUACAAUGCACAUUGACUGGAGCUUUGAGGACAAUUUCAUGGAUCCAGUGAAGAAGUGGACUUUGUUCCUGUGUUUGUGACUCAAGUGCCUGACAAAAAGUAUGAGACACAACACAAGUGGAGGAAAGUGAAUUUGUUUAAAUAUGCUGGAACACAAUUAUAGAUGGUAACAAUUUGCAUAAUUAAUUUGCUCAUAACCCAAAGACGUGGAUGUCGAUUAAGGCAGCCCCCCGCACCUCUCUGAUUCAGAGGGUUAAAUGCGGAAGACACAUUUCAGUUGAAGGCAUUCAGUUGUACAACUGACUAGUUGUCCUAUGUAGGCCAAUUUAUACUAACUACUCCUGUAACAAUGUUAGUCGUACAAUGCAGUUGUAUUAUUCUACACUAGAUGGCAAUAUAACCCUACGAAACAAUGUAACUGCUUUGUACUUUCACUGUAUUCUGUUUUUUCUUGGUUCUUUGAUUUCUGAAAACACCACAUAGGCAACCGGUUUCCCAUUAAACUGUCCAUGAACAACUUUCCCAUAUUCUUUUGAAUUUGCUGUUUGGUGGAUGACAUGUCACUUAAAGUCAUAGUUAGAGAGUCAUGAACAUUGUCCAGUGGGCUCUUUUUCAAAUUGCAUGUAUUUCAGUGGUCUAGAAAAAAACAUGCAUCAGGUUUAAUUGAUAUAUGCAAAUUCUGAAUUAUUGCUUAGAUUGUUGACAAUGUCUCUCCUAAACAUCUCGGGAUGAUACUAGACAGAGCUCGCGAAUGGUUCUUAAACUCUGAGUUUAGGCUUCUGUAUGCCAUGUUUACCUGCUGGAAUCCAAACAAUGCAUGAACUCAACUCCCACACAGCAGCAGACUUGGCUGAAGUGGGUCACGAAGAGAGGGCAGAUGAGUCACAAGGCAGCCAGUCCAAUUCCCAGGGACAAAAAGAAACAAGACUUUGUGAAGAAAAACAUUGAGAUAUGUCAAUGUUCAUGUUGGUCCAAGUGCAGUGUCAGACUGUCACAUAGAUUUGGACAAGUCCCAUGUUACGUGUGUUUUUUUUACCCCACUGGGAAAAAUAAAUAUUUCUUUGACUCAGA
Long non-coding RNA from Oncorhynchus keta (chum salmon), 4814 nucleotides. RefSeq lists it as uncharacterized. Lineage: Eukaryota; Metazoa; Chordata; Actinopteri; Salmoniformes; Salmonidae. The transcript is spliced from 2 exons. The record is from RefSeq and is a predicted model, not a curated record.